AGUGAACGCUGGCGGUAUGCCUAACACAUGCAAGUCGAACGGCAGCACAGUAAGCUCUUGCUCUUACGGUUGGCGAGUGGCGGACGGGUAAGGAAUAGAUCGGAAUCUACUUUUUCGUGGGGGAUUACGUAGGGAAACUUACGCUAAUACCGCAUACGACGUACGGGUGAAAGCAGGGGAUCUUCGGACCUUUCGCGAUUGAAUGAGCCGAUGUCGGAUUAGCUAGUUGGCGGGGUAAAGGCCCACCAAGGCGACGAUACGUAGCUGGUCUGAGAGGAUGAUCAGCCACACUGGAACUGAGACACGGUCCAGACUCCUACGGGAGGCAGCAGUGGGGAAUCUUGGACAAUGGGCGAAAGCCUGACCCAGCAAUACCGCGUGAGUGAAGAAGGUCUUCGGGUCGUAAAGCCCUUUUGUUGGGAAAGAAAAGCAGUAGGAGAAACCACCGCCGUCCUGACGGUACCCAAAGAAUAAGCACCGGCUAACUUCGUG
Molecule: ribosomal RNA, 492 nt
Filed under: uncultured bacterium
Lineage: Bacteria
Description: partial 16S ribosomal RNA
Rfam family: Bacterial small subunit ribosomal RNA
Source: RNAcentral